RNAcentral lists this small RNA (92 nucleotides) under Salmonella enterica subsp. enterica serovar Gallinarum. Its description in RNAcentral is "partial RtT sRNA". It matches the Rfam family "RtT RNA", at positions 41 to 130 of the family's 130-position model. From Rfam's summary of the family: This family represents a bacterial cis-regulatory element known as RtT RNA. The exact function of RtT is unknown although it is thought that it may be involved in changing the cellular response in relation to amino acid starvation. RNAcentral also lists the same sequence under 3 other names. Lineage: Bacteria; Pseudomonadati; Pseudomonadota; Gammaproteobacteria; Enterobacterales; Enterobacteriaceae. The record is from RNAcentral.
GUUCGAUUCGAGCGAAAGCGAGAAAGCGUUGCCGCAGGCAACGACCCGAAGGGCGAAACGCGCAGCGCUGAGUCAUCCUUCCCCCACCACCA